CUCUUCGGAACCACAAAAAGGUGCGAGUAAAAACCCUGCCCUUGUUGAUCCGGUGCCACUGGUUGAAUGGCCCGGAUCUCCAGCAGAUGGUGGAUAGCUGUCUGCAUAAGAGUUCUUUUAACAGGGACCCUAGAGAGUGGGCAUGUCAUGAAGAAUUUCAGGGGUGUGGAUUGGAAUUCCAGAGCCAAACUGAAUCUAAUGGUAUCUCUGACCCAAGAGUCAGAGGUAGAGGAAACCCAUUGGAUUAGGCUUGGCUUUGGAA
Pseudonaja textilis is the source of this 262-nucleotide non-coding RNA. The record is from RefSeq and is a predicted model, not a curated record. Lineage: Eukaryota; Metazoa; Chordata; Lepidosauria; Squamata; Elapidae.